Molecule: ribosomal RNA, 501 nt
Filed under: uncultured bacterium
Lineage: Bacteria
Description: partial 16S ribosomal RNA
Rfam family: Bacterial small subunit ribosomal RNA
Source: RNAcentral
AUUGAACGCUGGCGGCAGGCUUAACACAUGCAAGUCGAGCGGGGGAAGGUAGCUUGCUACUGGACCUAGCGGCGGACGGGUGAGUAAUGCUUAGGAAUCUGCCUAUUAGUGGGGGACAACAUCUCGAAAGGGAUGCUAAUACCGCAUACGUCCUACGGGAGAAAGCAGGGGAUCUUCGGACCUUGCGCUAAUAGAUGAGCCUAAGUCGGAUUAGCUAGUUGGUGGGGUAAAGGCCUACCAAGGCGACGAUCUGUAGCGGGUCUGAGAGGAUGAUCCGGCACACUGGGACUGAGAAACGGCCCAGACUCCUACGGGAGGCAGCAGUGGGGAAUAUUGGACAAUGGGGGGAACCCUGAUCCAGCCAUGCCGCGUGUGUGAAGAAGGCCUUAUGGUUGUAAAGCACUUUAAGCGAGGAGGAGGCUACUCUAGUUAAUACCUAGGGAUAGUGGACGUUACUCGCAGAAUAAGCACCGGCUAACUCUGUGCCAGCCGCCGCGGUAA